CAGUGCUUCUGUUGAGCACAGUGGUCACUCAAAAGAGGCAGAGUGAGUUCAGCCUAUCAUUUGAGAUCCGAGUAUGAUUGGGGAAAUAUCCUGAAAUAGUCUAUGAUUUGAAGAAAUGGAUAGAUGGCUAGAAUAACAUGCUAGAUGGUAGUCAAGUUACUAACUGCAGAAUUGAUUUGAUAAAAUUCUCAUCGUGUCUCCUGACUUAGGAGAAAUAUUGGGUCUGAUGAAUGGGUAAAAUUCCCAGGUGAAAAGAAUUUGGUCUGUAAGAUUUGGCAGCACCCUGAGGUUUGCCAUAUCUGAUGGCCUGGCUUUAGUGGCAGCACCUAGUGAAGGCCCAGGUGUCCUUCUGACAACCUUUACCACCUACCGUUUUGUCCUUACUUAUGUUGAAUCACUACACACAGGCUGUUGAAUUCAGCUGUCUGUGGAGAAAUUAUACCAACCACAUGGUUAGACAGAAGGAAUACAAUAUAUUGCUUAAUUUGUAUCUGAAAGCUAAGCAACAUGGAAAAAAAUCAAGCAUGCUCAGUCACUUCCAUGAGGACAAACGAAGACACUUCAAGAUAAUGAUUGAUACACCUCCCAUGCCCCACCUCUCACCCAGGACAGGAUCGAAGUGUUGGGGGAGCCACAACCUGCUUCACCUAGAAAGAGGACAUUGACAUGGAUCUGCCAGCUUUCUAAGACUUUCCCCAGAUUCAAGUCCAGUCACAUCAAGUUGCCUUAUUAAAGGGUCUGCCCACUCAAAAGGAGAAAGUGCAAAAGAUGCUCAGCAAGGGUAGCAAACGCAGUCAGAUGAUACUUCCUGACAGCAUCCAAGAGCAAGUCUCACCACCACAUCUGUCAAUAAAAAAGAAAACAAGGAGCUGCCAAUUUGUCUAUUUAUAGGUGCCAAUAAAAUCCUGC
RNAcentral lists this long non-coding RNA (909 nucleotides) under Homo sapiens (human). RNAcentral describes it as "non-protein coding LINC01333:5". Lineage: Eukaryota; Metazoa; Chordata; Mammalia; Primates; Hominidae. The record is from RNAcentral.